UCUGCCUUAUCGGCAAGCGGUCUCAUUAGAGUGCCCAACUUAAUGCUGGCAACUAAUGACAAGGGUUGCGCUCGUUGCGGGACUUAACCCAACAUCUCACGACACGAGCUGACGACAGCCAUGCAGCACCUGUCUCGAAGUCCCCGAAGGGAAUCCCUACUUUCAUAGGGUAGCCUCGGAUGUCAAGCCUAGGUAAGGUUUUUCGCGUUGCAUCGAAUUGAACCACAUACUCCACCGCUUGUGCGGGCCCCCGUCAAUUUCUUUGAGUUUUAAUCUUGCGACCGUAAUCCCCAGGCGGGGUACUUAACGCGUUAGCUACGACGCCGAAAGGGCAAGACCUUUCGACAUCUAGUACCCAUCGUUUACGGCGUGGACUAC
RNAcentral lists this unclassified non-coding RNA (378 nucleotides) under uncultured delta proteobacterium. RNAcentral describes it as "contains 16S-23S intergenic spacer region". The record is from RNAcentral. Lineage: Bacteria; Deltaproteobacteria.